AUGUACUGUACCUUUGAUGUAUUUCCAUGUGAGGGAACAUUUGAAGGAUGUACUGUACCUUUGAUGUAUUUCCAUGUCAUGGGGAAGCAUAAGCUCACUCUGAAGACCGAGGAGGACUCCAAUCCUCGUGAUAAGUACAUAACUUGGACUGACGAGGCGACAAGGUUUAUGCUUGAAUGGUAUAUCGACCUUCGUAAGGACAAACCUGCAACUUUCAAGUUCAAGAAACAACACCACUUGCAAUGUGCUGAUGCUCUAAAUGGCAAGUUUUCGCUUGGUGUCACUCAAACCCAAGUGGAUCGACACUAUCGUCAAUGCAAGGAGAAGUGGGGCUGGAAAACUGCAGUCAAUUAUCUUACCAGACCCAUUAGGUUCUUUCAUCAAUUGGAAGAGUUAUUCUCGGAUCAAUCUCAUGCUGAUGGCUCACUCGCAGUUGACCAAACCACUGUCAAUGUGGAUGAUGGUAGUGAUGACAGCGAGGAUGUGAGGGAACUUGAGGGAAAUCUAAUUCCAGCAGACAGUGAUGAAGCUGACUCUGACACUAUUGAUCUUCGCAGUCCUAAAGUCGACUUGGAUGGCAAUCCAUUAAACAAGAAGCGCAAGUGUGCGUCAUCAUCACCUUCCAAGAAGCCAACCAAGGGCAAAGCAAACAAGAAGGGCAAGGUACCUAAUGAUGAUAUGGUAACCAGUAUCAAGAAGCUAGCUGAAUCCCUUGCAUCCCCUAUUGUGUCUGUGCAACCAAUGCCACCUGCAGAUCCUUAUGCAAAUCUUUGGAAGCGGAUCAAUGCCCUUACCAUCCCAGCUAAGGAUAAACUUGAGAUUGUUGCCUAUCUAUCCAAGCCAGACCAAGAUAUCUUUCGUAGUUAUCUUAACUAUGCCGAUGAAACAAUUCUUCGAGAGUGGGUCAUUAGCUACUUUGAGCCUCAGUUUCAUGAAGGUGGCAAUGAUGGAUCUGCGGCUGCUCACUGA
Molecule: ribosomal RNA, 969 nt
Filed under: Triticum aestivum (bread wheat)
Lineage: Eukaryota; Viridiplantae; Streptophyta; Magnoliopsida; Poales; Poaceae
Description: partial small subunit ribosomal RNA
Source: RNAcentral